GAUGAACGCUGGCGGCGUGCCUAAUACAUGCAAGUCGAGCGAACAGACGAUGAGCUUGCUCCUCUGACGUUAGCGGCGGACGGGUGAGUAACACGUGGAUAACCUACCUAUAAGACUGGGAUAACUUCGGGAAACCGGAGCUAAUACCGGAUAAUAUAUUGAACCGCAUGGUUCAAUAGUUAAAGACGGUUUUGCUGUCACUUAUAGAUGGAUCCGCGCCGCAUUAGCUAGUUGGUAAGGUAACGGCUUACCAAGGCGACGAUGCGUAGCCGACCUGAGAGGGUGAUCGGCCACACUGGAACUGAGACACGGUCCAGACUCCUACGGGAGGCAGCAGUAGGGAAUCUUCCGCAAUGGGCGAAAGCCUGACGGAGCAACGCCGCGUGAGUGAUGAAGGUCUUCGGAUCGUAAAACUCUGUUAUUAGGGAAGAACAAAUGUGUAAGUAACUAUGCACGUCUUGACGGUACCUAAUCAGAAAGCCACGGCUAACUACGUG
Molecule: ribosomal RNA, 497 nt
Filed under: uncultured bacterium
Lineage: Bacteria
Description: partial 16S ribosomal RNA
Rfam family: Bacterial small subunit ribosomal RNA
Source: RNAcentral